GUUCUUGUAGUUGAAUUACAACGGUGGUUUUUCAAGUCAUUAGUCCUGGUUAGAAUCCUGGCAGGAAUU
Molecule: transfer RNA, 69 nt
Filed under: Choerodon schoenleinii (blackspot tuskfish)
Lineage: Eukaryota; Metazoa; Chordata; Actinopteri; Labriformes; Labridae
Description: tRNA-Glu
Rfam family: tRNA
About the family: Transfer RNA (tRNA) molecules are approximately 80 nucleotides in length.
Source: RNAcentral